UACGUAGGGUGCAAGCGUUGUCCGGAAUUAUUGGGCGUAAAGAGCUCGUAGGCGGUUUGUUGCGUCGGCUGUGAAAUCCCGAGGCUCAACCUCGGGUCUGCAGUCGAUACGAGCAAACUAGAGUGUUGCAGGGGAGACUGGAAUUCCUGGUGUAGCGGUGAAAUGCGCAGAUAUCAGGAGGAACACCGGUGGCGAAGGCGGCCCCCUGGUUGGAUACUGACGCUGAGACGCGAAAGCGUGGGGAGCAAACAGG
This 253-nucleotide ribosomal RNA is filed under the name uncultured bacterium. RNAcentral's name for it is "partial 16S ribosomal RNA". It matches the Rfam family "Bacterial small subunit ribosomal RNA", at positions 524 to 776 of the family's 1533-position model. The record is from RNAcentral.